GGGCCGGUGUUUCACUGGAAUGCCGAAGGAAUAGCACCGCACGGACCCCGUCGGACAAUGCUCCGAUAACUCUUAAUCUGCGGGUUGUGGGUUCGAUUCCCACCCGGCUCACCA
RNAcentral lists this transfer RNA (114 nucleotides) under Dehalococcoidia bacterium. RNAcentral describes it as "tRNA-OTHER". The record is from RNAcentral. Lineage: Bacteria; Bacillati; Chloroflexota; Dehalococcoidia.